Molecule: ribosomal RNA, 1292 nt
Filed under: uncultured bacterium
Lineage: Bacteria
Description: partial 16S ribosomal RNA
Rfam family: Bacterial small subunit ribosomal RNA
Source: RNAcentral
GGCAAACGGGUGAGUAACACGUGGGUUACCUACCUCUAAGUUGGGGAUAACAGUUGGAAACGAUUGCUAAUACCGAAUGUGCUCUACGGAGUAAAGAAGCCUUUAAAGCUUCGCUUAGAGAUGGGCCUGCGUCGCAUUAGCUAGUUGGUAGGGUAAUGGCCUACCAAGGCGACGAUGCGUAGGGGGACUGAGAGGUUAACCCCCCACACUGGGACUGAGACACGGCCCAGACUCCUACGGGAGGCGGCAGUGAGGAAUAUUGGACAAUGGAUGGAAAUCUGAUCCAGCCAUGCCGCGUGCAGGAAGACGGCCUUAUGGGUUGUAAACUGCUUUUAUACGGGAGCAAUAAGGGUUACGAGUAAUCCGAUGAGAGUACUGUAUGAAUAAGGAUCGGCUAACUCCGUGCCAGCAGCCGCGGUAAUACGGAGGAUCCGAGCGUUAUCCGGAAUUAUUGGGUUUAAAGGGUGCGUAGGCGGCCAUUUAAGUCAGCGGUGAAAUUUUGCAGCUUAACUGUAACAGUGCCGUUGAUACUGUUUGGCUAGGAUUUGGUUGUAGUGUGCGGAAUGUGUGGUGUAGCGGUGAAAUGCUUAGAUAUCACACAGAACACCGAUUGCGAAGGCAGCACACUAAGUCAUUAUUGACGCUGAGGCACGAAAGUGUGGGGAUCAAACAGGAUUAGAUACCCUGGUAGUCCACACCGUAAACGAUGAUAACUCGCUGUCGGCGAUACACAGUCGGUGGCCAAGCGAAAGCAUUAAGUGAUCCACCUGGGGAGUACGAUCGCAAGGUUGAAACUCAAAGGAAUUGACGGGGGCCCGCACAAGCGGCGGAGCAUGCGGAUUAAUUCGAUGCAACGCGAAGAACCUUACCAAGGCUUGACAUACACCGGAAUCAUGCAGAGAUGUGUGAGUCUUCGGACUGGUGUACAGGUGGUGCAUGGUUGUCGUCAGCUCGUGUCGUGAGAUGUUGGGUUAAGUCCCGCAACGAGCGCAACCCUUGUCUCGUGUUGCCAGCAUUUAGUUGGGGACUCACGAGAGACUGCCGGGGUUAACUCGGAGGAAGGUGGGGAUGACGUCAAAUCAUCAUGCCCCUUAUGUCUUGGGCUUCACGCAUGCUACAAUGGCAAGUACAGAGUGUUGCGAGCCUGUGAGGGUGAGCGAAUCACUUAAAGCUUGUCUCAGUUCGGAUUGGGGUCUGCAACUCGACCCCAUGAAGUCGGAGUCGCUAGUAAUCGCAGAUCAGCAACGCUGCGGUGAAUACGUUCCCGGGCCUUGUACUCACCGCCCGUCAAG